Canis lupus familiaris (dog) is the source of this 6035-nucleotide RNA transcript. It is a transcript of the gene named proline-rich protein 2-like, with no coding region annotated. The transcript is spliced from 2 exons. NCBI's taxonomy places the organism in Eukaryota, Metazoa, Chordata, Mammalia, Carnivora, Canidae. The record is from RefSeq and is a predicted model, not a curated record.
AUGUCAUACCACCGUGUUGAUGAAUUGAUGAUUUCCAGAGAAAACUGAACAGGCAACCCAUCUGCCUGAGGAGCUUUGCUGGGAGAACCUCCCUGAGUGAUGUUUGUCAGGGAAAUCCCUAGCUUCUCUUGGAGAAUCCCUGAGAAUCAUAGAACAUUAAGGCCAGCAGUGAGCUUAAAGCAAUCGGAGCUUAUUUUACUGCCUACGGCAGAUGAGACAACUCAGGGCCAGAGUCGUUAAGUGACUUAAUUCAAGAUAACAUCUAGUUCGUAGCCAAGCAAAGACUCUACUAAUAAAGGUGUUCCGCUCCAGGAAAGCAUUCUGAGUUCUGACAUUCCGAGUUUGACCUUUUUGUUCAGUUGUGUCUCACUCCACACCAUCGAGCUUAAACCUACAGUGUGAGGAGUAAACACUGGCCCUCGGUCUAAUGAAAUUUCAAGAGGAGAUAAGGGGAGGAAAAGCGUUCCUGCAAACCGCUUGGGAUGGGAUGUCAGCUCGCCCCUGCGAGGGAGCACUGCCAAACGUGCCCGUGCAGCGCCGUCUCCAGAGCGCGGCCAAUCCACCUCCGCUUUCCGCCACGAGCAUCCGCUAGCUGUCAGGCGCUGCCCACACGUGAUCCCGGGAGACCUGGCCUCCUGCAGGUGUCCCCGUGGUGGAUGGGGCACAGGGCCGCGCGGCGGCCGUCUGCUAAGGCUGCGGAGCCCGCCACGCGAGGGACGGGCAACGGUCGCGAUGCCGGGGGCCGGUCACUUCCUCGGGUAGUGGAUACUUUCAGCUCCAACCGAGCCAACCUCCAGAAAGCCCUGGCUAGCCUUCUGGGGGCUCCGCCACCUGCGCCGCCGUCCCCGCGGGAGACCCGCUCUGCGUCACCGUGACGACCCACUCCUACGCAGGGGCCUCCCUCCUCAAAGCGGCCGCCCAGCGUCCCCGCGCCUCCAUUCUCACCCGCGGCCGCCGCGCCACCGCCUGCUGCACGCGCUCGUUCACUGCCCGCAGUGCGAACCCGACUCCCAGCUCCGCCGACAUGCUGCCAGCUCUCCACAUCCCCCGGGACCCACCCGCGCGGGGACCCCCGCACCCCCAGGCCGAGACCGCCUUCCGGUCCCGCCCCGCGCACGUCUCGUGGGGCCCAAUCGCCGUUCACCAGCCAGUCGGCUCACCCAAUCGACAGCGGGCAACGCGGGGGCGGGACGGGGCGGCAGGCCCCGCCCCGCGGCGGCGGCCAUUUUGGGGAGGACGCGGGGGCCUGGGGCGUGGAGGCCCGCCUGCCGUGGUUCCCGUGCCCCCCGCGCGCCCCCCGAUGGGAGCCUUCCGCGUCCAGCUGCCGGAGCCGCCCCCACCGCCGCCCCCGCGGGAGCUUCCUCCGAAAGGCCGCGGCCUAUUCGGGGGUCCUCGUCUCUACAGACGUCCCGCAGGUGGGCCCGUCGGCCCCGGCGGUCAGAGCCGGGAACCGAGACGUCCGCGCGGGGACCGGGACUCGAAGCCGCUAGGGCGGGAGACACGGCUCUUAGUGGAGGAACCGGUAUGAGAGAAAAGAACGCUGUUUCUCAGGAAGGCGGCGUGGUUCAAAUGUGUGGUCAUUGAUCCCUGUGGCCCCGGAGUCCGGGGCUGCCCAGGUCGCGGUCCGCGCCGGAACACAAGGCAUCCCCGACAGGGGCAUAAAAAGAUUUUAUUUUUGAGUAAUCUCCACACCCAAGUGGGGCUUGAGCUUAACGGCCGAGGUCGGGCGUCGCCAGCUCUACCCGUGGAGUCCGCCGGCCCCGGGAGACCGUUUCGUGGUACUUGCUCACAGCCGCCUCGGUUCGGGACCGCGUCUCCAGAGGUCAGCGCCGCCUGCGGCCCCGCCGCCUCAUCCCGGAGCUCACGCAGAGUUGGAGCCUGUCAGUUUAAGCAUGUCAGGUUCACCCAGUCCUUCCUCUGUACAUCUCUUCACACGAUCCUGGUCACUCUAAUCCCCUUUGCUCCUCCCACCACUGACUUGCCGCCCAGCACCUUUCAACUCGGGUAUAAACUGACAGGCUACUUCACGUUUUUUUCUUAGAGAGCUGAGCAAGUGGGACACGCGGGGUGUUGCAGAGGGAGAGAACCUUUACCAGGCUCCAUGCCCAGCACAGAGCCUGACGCAAGGCUCCACCCCAGGACCCUGAGAUCAAGCAUGACCGGAGCCAAAAUCAAGACUUGGAUGCUUAACUGACUGAGCCACACAGGUGCCCCUGUGUUUUUAAGAAAACAUCUUAAAAACUAUAGAUACCUCAUCAGAUCUAAAAGAUGUACCCACAAUCUAGGAGAUACGUUAUUAUGACAACAGCAGGGGUCUUCAUUUAAUAGAUUUAAUAGGUCAGUUGUCUUCUUUGACUUCUAAGGUCAACCUCCUUUCAUUCCCCAUAUUCUAAGUGUGUGUGGCUCCCAAGAAGGCAUCAGAAGAGUGACUUAAAAUUUCAAGUUAGUAAGGAUAGUGGUGCCAAGAUUGGGCACCGGUGGCAUAGAAUUGACACACACUGAAUCUUGGAUUCCUCACUAAACUGUGAUCUAGGGUAAGUUACUGAAGUUCUCAAUUUUUCAUUUAUAAAAUGGAGUCCUUCCCUUCUGAGGUGCAGUGGUGAUCAAUCAAGACAGCAUGUGCGACACACUUAGCAGAGCGCUACCCCAAAGCAAGUGCAAAGUUUCAAUCAAUGUUAGUUCCUCCACCCUGCUAAUCUAUUCAGUCUACGUAUCUACAUAGAGGCGUUUCUCUGUAAAGGUAACUUGGGGAGAGACCAGCAUGAGUAAGACAGGCUUUCUUUUUAAUGGUGGAUUCGUUUCUAAGAUGCUUUUCUAUAACCUUAAGAAAAUGAAGUAAAGAUAAAAAGAUCAAGGUGACCCUAGUCUCAUUUCACAUUUUCCAGUGUCUUUCCCUCUCAGCUAUGCUUUUGAAUGAAUCGGAUUCCACUUUUUUCUUAGUUUUUUAGUAAUCUUCUCUUCCACACUCUGGGACAUCAUCUAAUUUAACACUUCAUUCUUUCCUACUAGUCCUUGAAAAAUGAAGGUCCACAAUCGCUUCAUCACCUGUACUAUCUUCAAAUUGCUCCAACAGUUUGCAAGGGCAAAGAGGGAAAGAGAUUAAAAAGCCAAAUACCCAGAAGAACAGAUUUUAUAAAGAAUUUUAUAAAAAAAAUUAUACUUUCACCAUAAAUGUCAUCAAGCGUUUAAAACAUUCACCUGUCAUCUGAGGCCAUGAAUUAUGAGAAAAACAUUCAUGGAUUUAAAAACUGCUUCCUUCUGAGUUUACUGUGAUUCUUUUGGGGGAUUAAAAAAAGAUAAAUAGAAAAUUAUAGUUGCCUGAUUACUUGGCUCUAAAGAGAAGCAUAGAGAUAAUGCUCAUGUCCCAGUUUAAAUGAAUUGAGGUAGAGAAGCCAUGACAACAAUCGCUCAGCAAACAUACUGUCACAUUUGCUUUUGGUUUUUUUUUUUUUUUUCACAUUUGGCUUUUGAAAUGUGAAUACAGAUUCUGGAAUCAGAGACCUGGGGAAGACCUUUAGAGAUCAUUUGAUCUUUCAUAUAGAAAGAAUGACAUUUAAACCAUCCCAAACAACAUAGAAUCUCCCCAAUUUCUGAAGACUAUCAGAGAAGAAAAUGUUAUCCAUGCUAAUCCCUGGAUUUAUUUUCUAUUUGCACACAACUACUGAUUUCAAAUUUUAGCCAAUCUUAGGUGAAAUUUUAAAAAAUACUCUAUUUUGCAAACUAAUUUCCUCUUCAUUGGUCUCAGAGGAGCUUGAGAAGACCUAGCCAACUCUUAUGCAACUUUUAUAAAUGUAAAGUCAUUAAAUUCCCCUUCUGCCUUUUAUGGGGCCAACCUAUGGGCUUUAUUUUUUUACUUUUUAAAUUUUGGUUUUAACAUGUUUUGCUAGCCUCCUCUUAAAAUUUUUUCCCCCCAAAUCGGAGCCCAGAACUGGGAAUUCCUUUUUAAGAGGGCCACCACACCUGCUUAUUUGUACAUAUGACAUUUCCGUAGAUGUAUGCAUUCUCCAUACAUAUUGGCUGCCUUCCAAUAUUGUUCCCUUUUCCCUCUCUGCGCUGUGCAAUAUGAAAUCUUAUCAUCACAUUUCUUUGACUUUCUACUUAGUGGUACCCACUUAAAUAACUGUGUGCUUUCUAGGCUGUUUCCCCAAAUGACUGAAAACAUACAUGCCAGGCCCACUGCUAACCCCCUCACAUGAAGGAUUUCAUUUAAUCUAUUCAACCCAUUUUAUAGAUGAAGAAACUGAAGUUCAGAGAGGUUAAGUAAUUUAAGACCAUAUACAUAGGAGGCCACCUGGGUAGCUCAGUUGAGCCCCUGCCUUUGGCCUAAGGCGUGAUCCUGGGGUCCUGGAAUCAAGUCCCACAUCGAGCUCCCUGCAUGGAGCCUGCCUCUGUGUGUCUCUCAUGAAUAAAUAAUCUUAAAAAAAAAAAAAAAAAAAAAAGACCAUAUACAUAGGAAGUGGUAGAGCUGGGAUCUGUAUCAUGGCAGUUUAACCCCAGGAACUACAUUCUUAGCUAUUCAAUUCUAAGUUCAUAUUAUUUGUGUAGUGGCUUUCAAACCAAUAGAGGAAGUUUGAGACACCAUUAAAAAUCUGAGAAAGGGACACCUGGGUGGUCUAGUGGUUGAGGAUCUACCUUUGGCUCAGGUCAUGAUCCUGGGGUUUUGGGAUUGAGUAACGCAUCAGGCUUCCUGUGGGGAGCCUGCUUCUCCCUCCGCCUAUGUCUCUGCCUCUCUGUUGUCUCUCAUGAAUAAGUAAGUAAAAUCUUAAAAACAAAAACCCCCACAAAAUCCGAGAAAGCUGGGCUAGGGUUACAACAUUUGGCAGAUAAAUUAAUACAGGAUAUUCAGUUAAAUGUGUGGGUCAUAUGAAAACAUAAUUUUUCAGUAUGUCUCAUGCAGUAUCUGAGACAUACUAAUGCUAAAAGUUGUUUCUAUGAAAUUCAGAUUGAACCAAGCAUCAUGUAUUUUAUUUGGCAGCCUUACACUGGCCAGCUUACCAGAGCAGAGAUGGACUUUUUUACUUAUUUGAUAUAAAAAUGAGUUUUGGGUCAACUGAAAGGAUCUCUACCCUAGAGGGUAAUUGCAGAAGUGAAUGGAUUCUUUAAAAUAAUCAAUUUCCAUAACACCUAUCAAGAAUCAUGCCAUGUUUACAAAUUAGUAAUUUAUUGUUUCUACAUUGAUAAUGGGGAUAUUCAUCAGAAUAUAUUUUUAGGGUCAUCUUGUACUUAACUCACUGCAGAGGGAUGUUUUAUUUCUUUUUAUCACCUAUCCUAAUAUUAGCUAUUGCUGAAUUUCUCUUUAAUAAAAAAGUAGAUGCAAAGACUUUAUUUAGCAAGACUGAAAAUAAAACUAAGAUAUAAAUUCUCACCUUUAGUAUUGUCUAAAACAAUUCCUGCAGCUAUCAACGCACCCAAGGUAAUUAGUCCAGCAUAUGAGAGUGAUUAAUAAAACAUUUUGCAUUUACGAAGGGGGUCAAUUAAACUCUCGAGGCUUUGAAAGUAGAGUUAGUCUGACUAGUCAAUCACCAGCUUACACAAAAACAGAAAUAAAAAGAAAUGGAAAUACAAACAGAAACUGAUUGGCUAUUACCUCUUUUCUAAGGAAGCAAUAGAGACAGUGGCUCAAACCCUACUGAAUAGAACUAAAGAAGUAGCAGUUAAGUUCACAGACACAGAGCAGCCACUAGCCAACACACAGGUUUAUUCUCAACUGAGGAUUGAGGUUUAUCUUCAAACUUAAAUUGAUCAGAUCGCUAGUAAAUACUUGAUCUCACUUUCACAACUUACUCUCUGUAAAUGGCAAAGUUAUCAGUGCUGAAAGAUACACAGGCUCAUAGAAAUUACAACAGACUAUUUAGAAAACAACUUUUUUUUUGGGUCAACACAUUGCCAAAAUUCUUUAAAUUAUUUUUUUCCCUCCUUCAACUUGAUAUGACCACAGAUUCCUUCAAAUUUAUUUUAGGCUUAUAAAAAUUAUUAACAAACUUUGGCUUCCUUGCAAAUAUUCUGUCCUUAUAUUAAAAAAGUGAUUAAAAACA